This 647-nucleotide ribosomal RNA is filed under the name uncultured Bacilli bacterium. Its description in RNAcentral is "bacterial SSU rRNA". It matches the Rfam family "Bacterial small subunit ribosomal RNA", at positions 85 to 718 of the family's 1533-position model. The record is from RNAcentral. Lineage: Bacteria; Bacillati; Bacillota; Bacilli.
AAAAAGAGGAGUGGCGAACGGGUGAGUAACACGUGGGUAACCUGCCCAUCAGAAGGGGAUAACACUUGGAAACAGGUGCUAAUACCGUAUAACAAUCGAAACCGCAUGGUUUUGAUUUGAAAGGCGCUUCCGGGUGUCGCUGAUGGAUGGACCCGCGGUGCAUUAGCUGGUUGGUGAGGUAACGGCUCACCAAGGCCACGAUGCAUAGCCGACCUGAGAGGGUGAUCGGCCACAUUGGGACUGAGACACGGCCCAAACUCCUACGGGAGGCAGCAGUAGGGAAUCUUCGGCAAUGGACGAAAGUCUGACCGAGCAACGCCGCGUGAGUGAAGAAGGUUUUCGGAUCGUAAAACUCUGUUGUUAGAGAAGAACAAGGAUGAGAGUAACUGUUCAUCCCUUGACGGUAUCUAACCAGAAAGCCACGGCUAACUACGUGCCAGCAGCCGCGGUAAUACGUAGGUGGCAAGCGUUGUCCGGAUUUAUUGGGCGUAAAGCGAGCGCAAGCGGUUUCUUAAGUCUGAUGUGAAAGCCCCCGGCUCAACCGGGGAGGGUCAUUGGAAACUGGGAGACUUGAGUGCAGAAGAGGAGAGUGGAAUUCCAUGUGUAGCGGUGAAAUGCGUAGAUAUAUGGAGGAACACCAGUGGCGA